Molecule: ribosomal RNA, 449 nt
Filed under: uncultured bacterium
Lineage: Bacteria
Description: partial 16S ribosomal RNA
Rfam family: Bacterial small subunit ribosomal RNA
Source: RNAcentral
GUCGAGAAUCUUUCACAAUGGGGGCAACCCUGAUGGAGCGACGCCGCGUGGAGGAUAAGGUCUUCGGAUUGUAAACUCCUGUCAUGCGUGAACAAGGUUGCUUGGAUAAUACCUGAGCAAAUUGAUGGUAGCGCAAGAGGAAGAGACGGCUAACUCUGUGCCAGCAGCCGCGGUAAUACAGAGGUCUCAAGCGUUGUUCGGAAUCACUGGGCGUAAAGGGUGCGUAGGUGGCGUGGCAAGUCAGAUGUGAAAGCCCGGGGCUCAACCUCGGAACUGCAUACGAUACUGCCAUGCUGGAGUACUGGAGGGGUGACUAGAAUUCUCGGUGUAGCAGUGAAAUGCGUAGAUAUCGAGAGGAAUACCAAAGGCGUAGGCAGGUCACUGGACAGUUACUGACACUGAGGCACGAAGGCCAGGGGAGCGAACGGGAUUAGAUACCCUAGUAGUCC